This 587-nucleotide ribosomal RNA is filed under the name Salmonella enterica subsp. enterica serovar Newport. RNAcentral's name for it is "partial 23S ribosomal RNA". It matches the Rfam family "Bacterial large subunit ribosomal RNA", at positions 602 to 1190 of the family's 2925-position model. Lineage: Bacteria; Pseudomonadati; Pseudomonadota; Gammaproteobacteria; Enterobacterales; Enterobacteriaceae. The record is from RNAcentral.
UACCUUUUGUAUAAUGGGUCAGCGACUUAUAUUCUGUAGCAAGGUUAACCGUAUAGGGGAGCCGUAGGGAAACCGAGUCUUAACCGGGCGUUAAGUUGCAGGGUAUAGACCCGAAACCCGGUGAUCUAGCCAUGGGCAGGUUGAAGGUUGGGUAACACUAACUGGAGGACCGAACCGACUAAUGUUGAAAAAUUAGCGGAUGACCUGUGGCUGGGGGUGAAAGGCCAAUCAAACCGGGAGAUAGCUGGUUCUCCCCGAAAGCUAUUUAGGUAGCGCCUCGUGAACUCAUCUCCGGGGGUAGAGCACUGUUUCGGCUAGGGGGCCAUCCCGGCUUACCAACCCGAUGCAAACUGCGAAUACCGGAGAAUGUUAUCACGGGAGACACACGGCGGGUGCUAACGUCCGUCGUGAAGAGGGAAACAACCCAGACCGCCAGCUAAGGUCCCAAAGUCAUGGUUAAGUGGGAAACGAUGUGGGAAGGCCCAGACAGCCAGGAUGUUGGCUUAGAAGCAGCCAUCAUUUAAAGAAAGCGUAAUAGCUCACUGGUCGAGUCGGCCUGCGCGGAAGAUGUAACGGGGCUAAACCAU